GGGNGGCAGCAGUGGGGAAUNUUAGACAAUGGGNGNAANCNUGAUCNAGCCAUGCCGCGUGAGUGAUGAAGGCCUUAGGGUCGUAAAGCUCUUUCGCCAGAGAUGAUAAUGACAGUAUCUGGUAAAGAAACCCCGGCUAACUCCGUGCCAGCAGCCGCGGUAAUACGGAGGGGGUUAGCGUUGUUCGGAAUUACUGGGCGUAAAGCGCACGUAGGCGGACUUUUAAGUCAGAGGUGAAAUCCCAGGGCUCAACCCUGGAACUGCCUUUAAUACUGGUAGUCUUGAGUUCGAGAGAGGUGAGUGGAAUUCCGAGUGUAGAGGUGAAAUUCGUAGAUAUUCGGAGGAACACCAGUGGCGAAGGCGGCUCACUGGCUCGAUACUGACGCUGAGGUGCGAAAGUGUGGGGAGCAAACAGGAUUAGAUACCCUGGUAGUCCACNCCGUAAACGAUGAAUGCCAGNCGUCGGGNNGNAUNCNUUUCGGUGUCACACCUAACGGAUUAA
RNAcentral lists this ribosomal RNA (502 nucleotides) under uncultured bacterium. RNAcentral's name for it is "partial 16S ribosomal RNA". It matches the Rfam family "Bacterial small subunit ribosomal RNA", at positions 343 to 863 of the family's 1533-position model. The record is from RNAcentral.